Molecule: non-coding RNA, 322 nt
Organism: Arachis ipaensis
Lineage: Eukaryota; Viridiplantae; Streptophyta; Magnoliopsida; Fabales; Fabaceae
Source: RefSeq, a predicted model, not a curated record
UCUUAAAGGUUUAUAUGGGAUAUCUUUGUGGCAUAAUGCAUCUGAUAUAAAUUAUUGUGUUUUGUUUGGAACAGGCAUUGGGGUAUCUUCAAUUUAUUUUUGCUUGUUCAAUUCUGAGUUGGAGUUGGGUUUAAUUAUUUCUGGUUGCAGAGUGUUACAUUGAAAUGGGUUGGAAAGCUGCAGAGAAACUUAUUAGACACUGGAAAAUUGUCAGAGGUGACAAUGUUAUGAUCAUAAGGGGUAAAGAUAAGGGUGAGUCUGGGGUCAUUAAACGUGUUAUUCGUUCCCAGAAUCGUGUUAUUGUCGAGGGUAAAAAUUUGGU